Pelobates cultripes (western spadefoot toad) is the source of this 223-nucleotide non-coding RNA. Lineage: Eukaryota; Metazoa; Chordata; Amphibia; Anura; Pelobatidae. The record is from the annotation of a GenBank genome assembly.
CAAUAACACACGUACAUUACAAAACGACACUCCCACACAAAAUCCUCCCCUCUGGCUGUGAUAUGAUUACUGAACACAAUGGUUAAUCUAAUUAUCACAGCCAGAGAAAUACAGUUUUUCCACAUUAUUUAUAACUUGAAAAGUAUGAAUCACAUUCACAUAAAUUUACAUUUACAUUUUCAGAAUCAGCAUACUCCAAAUACAAACAUAUGUCAAAAUCAUA